This 388-nucleotide long non-coding RNA is filed under the name Rattus norvegicus (Norway rat). RNAcentral describes it as "long non-coding RNA NONRATT009931". The record is from RNAcentral. Lineage: Eukaryota; Metazoa; Chordata; Mammalia; Rodentia; Muridae.
UGCUAUUCCAUGUCUGGUGUCCCCCCCCAUCUCCUGCCAGCUGCUUCACACCUGCUAUUCCAUGUCUGGUGGCCCCCCAUCCCCUGCCAGCUGCUUCACACUUGCUCCUACAGCUGUUUGUUCUCCUCAGUCUGAGUUUCAGUCACCAUUCUGUCCCUGUGUCCUCUUGGAUUUAUGACCAUUUGGUAUCCCUGGUCACUGUUUCCCACUUGGUGUUUGUAGUUCCCAGCUGCUCCAGUGCACUUUGGGUUCUGGACUCUCCUGUAAAUGGACUGCAGAGCCUAGGUGGCAGCAGCAGAAUGGAACUGCCAAGGAAGUCCUUACAUCUGACCAGCUAUUUGUGAACAGGUAGACACUUGAACAGCCAUCCUGGAAUGGCAGUGUGUUG